RNAcentral lists this small nucleolar RNA (98 nucleotides) under Cladophialophora yegresii CBS 114405. RNAcentral's name for it is "A. fumigatus snoRNA Afu_513". It matches the Rfam family "A. fumigatus snoRNA Afu_513". The record is from Rfam by way of RNAcentral. Lineage: Eukaryota; Fungi; Ascomycota; Eurotiomycetes; Chaetothyriales; Herpotrichiellaceae.
CUACUUGAUGAAUGGCACUGGGCUCCGACAGCCAAACACGGCUGGUCUUGAUGGAAAUGCCCUCUUGAGGCAGGCCUAGAAAACCUAGCCCACUGAUU